Molecule: ribosomal RNA, 586 nt
Filed under: uncultured bacterium
Lineage: Bacteria
Description: partial 16S ribosomal RNA
Rfam family: Bacterial small subunit ribosomal RNA
Source: RNAcentral
UGGGGAAUUUUGGACAAUGGGCGAAAGCCUGAUCCAGCAAUGCCGCGUGUGUGAAGAAGGCCUUCGGGUUGUAAAGCACUUUUGUCCGGAAAGAAAUCCUUGGCUCUAAUACAGUCGGGGGAUGACGGUACCGGAAGAAUAAGCACCGGCUAACUACGUGCCAGCAGCCGCGGUAAUACGUAGGGUGCAAGCGUUAAUCGGAAUUACUGGGCGUAAAGCGUGCGCAGGCGGUUUGCUAAGACCGAUGUGAAAUCCCCGGGCUCAACCUGGGAACUGCAUUGGUGACUGGCAGGCUAGAGUAUGGCAGAGGGGGGUAGAAUUCCACGUGUAGCAGUGAAAUGCGUAGAGAUGUGGAGGAAUACCGAUGGCGAAGGCAGCCCCCUGGGCCAAUACUGACGCUCAUGCACGAAAGCGUGGGGAGCAAACAGGAUUAGAUACCCUGGUAGUCCACGCCCUAAACGAUGUCAACUAGUUGUUGGGGAUUCAUUUCCUUAGUAACGUAGCUAACGCGUGAAGUUGACCGCCUGGGGAGUACGGUCGCAAGAUUAAAACUCAAAUGAAUUGACGGGGUCAUAGCUGUUUCCUU